This 88-nucleotide transfer RNA is filed under the name Candidatus Avimuribaculum pullicola. Its description in RNAcentral is "tRNA-Ser". It matches the Rfam family "tRNA". From Rfam's summary of the family: Transfer RNA (tRNA) molecules are approximately 80 nucleotides in length. The record is from RNAcentral. Lineage: Bacteria; Pseudomonadati; Bacteroidota; Bacteroidia; Bacteroidales.
GGAAACAUGGGUGAGUGGACGAAACCAGCACACUGCUAACGUGCCGAGCCGCGACACGGUUCCGAAGGUUCGAAUCCUUCUGUUUCCG